UGCCACCGGGGCCGCUGGCCGGAAGCCCCGUCCUCGUUCCCGCGUAGACGAUGCUCACGCCGUCAGGCUCGACGCCGAGCUCUUCGGCAACGCACUGAGCGACGACGGUUUCGGCGCUGUUUCCCCAGAAGGCGGUCGAGUAGAGCGUCGCCGUGACGCCGCCCGUCGCGUCGAUGCUCAGCGUGAUGCUCUCCGGAACGCUCGAGACGAAGAUCCCCUUGCCGCGGUCGAAGAACCACCACUCGUUCGCGGCAUAGACACUGCGCUCCUGGCACGUGACGAGGCCGAUGCCGAUAUAGCGGCCCUGCUCCCGCAGGCGCUGCUGCUCGCUCCGCCAGUGCUCGAGGUCCGCGAGCUCGAGCGCCUUGUCGAGCACCGCCUCGUAGUCGCCGCUGUCGUACUCGUUCCCGCCGGGAAUCUUGUAGGGGAACUGCUCCGGCCGGAUGAAGUUGUGCCGGCGCAGCUCGACAGGAUCGCGGCCGAGCUCGUGCGCGGCGAGAUCGACGAUCCGCUCGAGCACGAAGUUGUGCACCUCGGAGCCGAAUCCCCGGUACGCCCCCUGCUGGCACUUGUUCGUGAAGACGCCGCGUGCCCGGUACUCGAUCGCGUCGAUGCGAUACGGGCCAACGACCUGCGCCAUCGCGUUGCCGUGUGUGCCCAACCCGAACUGGAUGUAGGCGCCGUAGUCGUCGACGACGUCGAGUCGAAGACCCGUGAACGUGCCGUCCGCGGCGACCGCGAGCUCGACGUCGUAGGAUCGUUCAGAGCCGUGGUGGUCGCAGCAGGAGAGGUUGUCGAGACGGUCCUCCACGUACUUCACCGGCCGGCCGACGACCUUGCUCAGCAUCCCGGCGAGCACGUUGACCCGCACGGCCCAGAACUUCGAUCCGAAGCUCCCGCCCGCUGGAUGCGGAUGAAGGUCGAGCUUGUUCGCGGGAAUCUUCAUCGCCUUUGCGAGCAGGAACAGGAAGUUCGUGAGAGCGACCGAGUUCGAGUGGAUCGUCAUCAAGCCGGUCGCCGGGUCGUAGCUUGCGACAGCGCCCACGGUCUCGAGCGGCUGACCUCCGGUGCGGCCCCAGUUCAGGCGAUCGCGGACGACGAGCGCCGCGGUGGCGAACGCCUCGUCCACGUCACCGUAACUGAGCGUCGAGUCGAUCGCGACGUUGGUGCCCAGGGCCUCGUGGACCAGCGAGCCAGAAGGCUGCAUGGCCUCUCGUGCGUCGACGAUAGGGGCGAGCUCCGCAUAGUCGACCUCGAUCAGAUCGCGCGCGUCCUCUGCGACAUAGCGGCUCGAAGCGACGAUCGCGGCGACCGGCUCGCCGACGAAGCGGACCUUGUCGGAUGCCAUGCACCGCCACGCAUGCAAGUCGGGAGCCGGCCCGAAGUCCGGCAUCGGAUCGCACAAUUCCAUGGCAUCGAGGCAGGUCACGACUGCGGCGACGCCGGGUAGGCGCCGUGCCUGCUCGGCAUCGAUGCUGACGAUGCGGGCGUGCGCGAGUGGGCUGCGUAGCGUCGCCGCGUGAAGCAUCCCCGGAACGGCAAGGUCAUCGACGUAGUUCCCGCGCCCGAGCAGGAACUUCCGAUCCUCGACCUUCGGGAUCGAUUUGCCAAUCCAGCGGUACGUGGGAUCGGUUGCAACCGUCAUUCGGGCGCACCUUCCGUGGAGGGCUGCGAGCCGCUCGGAGCCGCGAGCCGAGCGGCGGCAUCGAGGACCGAGUCGACGAUGAACUGAUAGCCGGUACACCGGCAGAGGUUGCUCGCGAUUGCCUCGCGCGCCUCGGCUCUCGAGGGUGCGGGGUUCUCCUGCAGAAACUCCGUCGCGCGGAGCAGCAUCCCGGGCGUGCAGUAGCCGCACUGCAACCCGUGGUUCUCGAGGAACGCUUCCUGAAGCGGGUUGAGCCGUCCGUCGGGAGCAAGUCCUUCAACGGUCGUGAUCGACGAUCCGUCGACCUCCACCGCGAACGCGAUGCAGGAGCGUGCGGUUCGUCCGUCGAGGAGCACCGUGCAGGUGCCACAAACGCCGUGCUCGCAGCCGACGUGGACACCGACGAGGCCGAGGUCGUAUCGCAACAGGUCGACGAGCAGGCGUCUCGACUCGACGGUCGCUUCCACGGGCUGGCCGUUCACCUCGAGCGCUAUUCGAUGCAUGCUCAUGCCAACUCCCCCUGCGCUCGCUCGAUCGCGCGAAGGAGCGACCGCUUGACGUAGACGCGGGCGAGGCGUUGGCGAUAGCGCCCGGACCCGUGAAUAUCCGAGAUCGUCUCGAUCUCGUCGGCCGCCCGGGCUGCCACCUCGGCAACGAGCUCAGCGCUCGCGGUUUCUCCCUCGAGAAGCGCGGCUGCAGCGUUGACCCGAGUCGGGCGGGGCGACGCACCGAACACGACGAUCGCGGCAUCCCGCGCGCGCUUGUCCUCGUCCAGCCGGAGCACCGUAACGACGCCGGCGAGCG
Molecule: unclassified non-coding RNA, 2449 nt
Filed under: uncultured fungus
Lineage: Eukaryota; Fungi
Description: sequence contains 18S rRNA gene, ITS1, 5.8S rRNA gene, ITS2, 28S rRNA gene
Source: RNAcentral